GUUUCUGUAAGCUUUCAGGUAUAAACGUGUCAGGCGAGGAAAAUACAUUUGCUUGUCGAGAAGAGAACUCUGAACUGCUUAUUGGAGCCAACUGGUAAAUAGUUGUGAACCUACCAAGGUCAGAGAUAUGCAUUGAAGAACAUUUUAAAGCCAAGACCACUUUAAAACUCAAUCAUGCACAACUGUUUUCAUUAGAGGACGGUAAAAAUGUCUUCCUUUCUGAAAUAAGUACCCACAUUUCUACAGAACAUUAUUAAUUGUGUAUGGCUAGCAUAGUUCAAAGCAUUCAAAAUUUUGUGUUGGCUGUUAUGCCAUCCUGGCUGAGUUCGACGCUCCGUGGCCAGUUAUCUCUGGCUGUUGUGCACUUACCAUAUAGGCAUGUAACCAGUUCUUGCCAAAGAAAUGUUUUAGAAAGAUGUGAGGUGCAUCAAGAUAAUAAUUCUCUAAAGUUACUAAGCUCCCAGGAAAUAUGACGCCCUCAGCGAUCUGGUUUUUCUAUCGUUUCUGGUCCCACUGGUCAGCUGGUGUUGACAGAAUCUAAACCGCCUUUGACUAGGUGCCCUGGAUCACUGCUUUUGGGGGGGGACACGCCUCUUUUUCGCCUCUUCAUGGACAGAGUGGGGAGGAGAAAAGGCAGUGGGCAGCUUUGUGGCUUCGCUGGAUUGAUUGCGUGUGGGGGCUUCGAGGGGCGGUGCUGCUCCAACCGGCCACCGCAUCAACAACCACAGGAACCACUUGGUAGUGUGGUUACCUCAUUCGUGUCGACAUCAGUUGUUCAUCCCUGAAGGCGAGGUUCCUGUCCUUUAUCUGAUGGUUUGCUAUAGCUCUUAAUGGAGUUACAUAUAGGUUCCAAACAAUCCAUCGAGGGUUGUUGGUGCGUCUUCAUGUGGCGGUUGAUGGGCCUUUGGUCGUUCGAUUUAUUGGGUGUGUGGAAGAUGGACUCUAGCUCGGGCUCACAUGGUGCGGCAAAAUCGGCCUGAGGCACUUAGCACACAGGGAUAGAGAAAACAGAGAGGCAGGAAAGGAGUGGUCGUUCAGACUUAGUGUUGGAAUUUUCAGGUCACUUGACUUAUUUCUCCACUCUAACUAAAUUAGUAAAUGAGCUAUAAACUUAAUUAAACUUGACAUGAGUGCAAUAUAGAAUGCUUGUGUUCCAUUUUGAGUGCAUUCACACAGUCAGGUACUUGAUGUGUUCAGUUACACAAUUUCAAAAUAGGCUAAUAUUAUCACAAAAUUUUCAGCAGCGACCACUAGAAUGUUUGUCAGGUUACAAAGAAUUGGAAGAUAGGAUGCACUUUUCACCAAAUUUGGAAAGUGCGCGGCUCAGUGUGGUGUUAUUGUUUAUUGAUAACGUCCUGGAUUUGUCAAGUGGUCAUGUUGUGGUUUAACAAAAUAACUUUUCGUCAGACCUAACAGAGUUAUAGAGCAGUCAAAAAUUAGACCACCGGGACAAGAAAGAGAGAAACAUGGAAAGAAGGAGAGAAAUAAAAGAUGUGAAGCCUUCUUAUCUCUUAUCAGUAUGCAAAUAGAUGAACAAUAAGUACUUGCCUAGUAUUGGAACUAUCAUGCUAAUUGUUUCAGGUUUGUCUGUUUGGAAAGAAAAGCACUGGAGUUAGGAAUAUAGGUUUCACAUCAAAAAAAUUGGCUGACAUGCAUUGCAACUUGCCACUGAUUGGUAAACAUCAUCUCCUCUAUUUAUUGCUCUUAACGAGUGCACCCUACAAAUCAAAGCCUUAUAUACAGUGUUGAUGUUGUAUUCAUAAUUCACCCUGUUUUUAUUGUUUCGCAAACAUAAAUGUCAAUUGCUAAGAAUUACUUGAUCAAAUUGCUGUAAUAUGGGUAGAUGAGACAUAUUUCUGGUGGAGAUUGCAUAUCAGUUCUCUUUUGUAGGUCUGAAUAAAUGUACGGUCAUAUUUGUAUUCUCUUCUGUCGGUUUACAGUCCUUGUGAUGAUUACAUACUGAUGUUUUCAUAUAUUUUAAUCUUUUAACAAGGGGAUGUGAUGAGCUUUAUCUCUACCAAUAUAAAAAGACCCUAGGGGGCAGAUCCAAUUAAUCUCAGACAUCAAAUAAGGUCAAUCCAACGACCCAGAUUGCUCCAAUGGCAGCCAUUUUCAAAGAUGUGACUAUGUGAGAGAUCUCCAAACCUCAGUUAAAAUGCCGCACAUGGUACUUAUCUCUUGCAGUUAGAUCUCUUUGGUUGUGUGUUUGUCUCUGACAUUCCUUCCCCUGGAGGUUCUUUCUACUCUGAUGAAUCUUUGAAAGAUGUGAUAUUGGUUUGGUAUGAUUAUCUACUAAUCACAUAAGUAUUAUAGGCGUCGGCCUCUUUCCCUCCAUCAGAACUCUACUUACUUCACCUGUUAUGCAUAUUAUGUUUUCUGACCAGGUGACAGGCACCUUAUUCCUUUUGAGUGCUUCAACAACCUGUAAUGCAGUGCUCUCCAAUUACUCAAUCAAACUUCAAAGGUGUCAGUUACGCUGAUAAGGAAUACGGUCGCUGCAAGGCGGUGGCCGUGGGGUGCAGGAUACACUUUGCUGCUGCCAUUGUGUGACUGGAAACUGACACAUCGGCGUGAAAGCUUCUACGUCGCUGUGCUCCGCAGGGCGGCAGUUUGGUUGGGUGUUUAUACUUUAAAUUUGUAAUCAGCACCUUCCAUUACAAUGGUGAGUUGCGCAUACACAAGCAGUCUACUGUAAGAUGCACAUUAAUUUGUUUUUGCAGGUUGAUACGAAAAAUAUACUCUUCUUUCGUGGAUGUGCCUUAUCUGACAUGGGAAAGAUUUAUCUCAGAAAGUUUAUAUGAUUGGACAUAAUAAAAUCUCUACUUUUUGGAAUGACCCUUUUUUUUAUCUAUAUACUUCCAUAGCGUGUCUGAAAGUAUGUGCACUGUGCAAGACAUAGUCACUGUCCUUUUGGUUCUGGAAGAAUAAUAUUUCAUGAA
Aegilops tauschii subsp. strangulata is the source of this 2939-nucleotide non-coding RNA. Lineage: Eukaryota; Viridiplantae; Streptophyta; Magnoliopsida; Poales; Poaceae. The record is from RefSeq and is a predicted model, not a curated record.